This 1139-nucleotide ribosomal RNA is filed under the name Dothideomycetes sp. genotype 187. Its description in RNAcentral is "eukaryotic LSU rRNA". The stretch from base 541 to 1139 matches the Rfam family "Eukaryotic large subunit ribosomal RNA", at positions 1 to 601 of the family's 3401-position model. The record is from RNAcentral. Lineage: Eukaryota; Fungi; Ascomycota; Dothideomycetes.
GAUCAUUACAAGUUGAAACGGUCGCCCUCGCGGUGACCGGUUCUUCAAACCUCUGCGUACCAAACCUUUCAGUUGCCUCCGGCGGCCCCUGGGCCGACGCGGCGCGCGACCUCCCCGUUCGCGGGGGGGCCGCUCCUCGCGGCGGACCACCCGCCGGGCGGUCAUAAACAAAACCUUUUUGUCGAGAUGGCAUCGUCUAAUUUCUUCAUAACAAAAUAUGAAAUACAACUUUUAACAAUGGAUCUCUUGGCUCCGGCAUCGAUGAAGAACGCAGCGAAAUGCGAUAACUAGUGUGAAUUGCAGAUUUCAGUGAAUCAUCGAGUCUUUGAACGCACAUUGCGCCUCUUGGUAUUCCUCGAGGCAUGCCUGUUCGAGCGUCGUUACGCCCCUCAAGCGCAAGCUUGGUGUUGGGGAUCGCCCCUGAGAUACGGCGGCGGCCCUUAAAUGCAUCGGCGGUGCUGGUGUCAGCCCGGAGCGCAGCAGACAUGCGGCUUCCAGGCGACCACGCGCCCGCCGGACAACGACCCGACUUUCAAACGUCGACCUCGGAUCAGGUAGGGAUACCCGCUGAACUUAAGCAUAUCAAUAAGCGGAGGAAAAGAAACCAACAGGGAUUGCCUUAGUAACGGCGAGUGAAGCGGCAACAGCUCAAAUUUGAAAUCUGGCGCCUUUGGCGUCCGAGUUGUAAUUUGCAGAGGAUGCUUCGGCGAUGGCGCCGCCCAAAGUUCCUUGGAACGGGACGUCGCAGAGGGUGAGAGCCCCGUGUUCGGGCGGAUGCCUUCGCCGUGUGAAGCUCCUUCGACGAGUCGAGUUGUUUGGGAAUGCAGCUCAAAACGGGAGGUAAAUUUCUUCCAAAGCUAAAUACCGGCCGGAGACCGAUAGUGCACAAGUAGAGUGAUCGAAAGAUGAAAAGCACUUUGGAAAGAGAGUCAAACAGCGCGUGAAAUUGUUAAAAGGGAAGCGCUUGCGGUCAGAACUUGGCCGCCGUUGCUCGGGGAGGUCUUGCGCCUCCCUCGCUCUUCGGCGGCUGGGCCAGCAUCGGUUCGGGCGGCUCGAGAAAGGUCGCGGGAACGUAGCUCCCUCCGGGGAGUGUUAUAGCCCGCGGCGCAAUAGGGCCCGCCUGGACCGAGGUCUGCGCA